This 1402-nucleotide ribosomal RNA is filed under the name Leuconostoc citreum. RNAcentral describes it as "bacterial SSU rRNA". It matches the Rfam family "Bacterial small subunit ribosomal RNA". Lineage: Bacteria; Bacillati; Bacillota; Bacilli; Lactobacillales; Lactobacillaceae. The record is from RNAcentral.
CGCGCAGCGAGAGGUGCUUGCACCUUUCAAGCGAGUGGCGAACGGGUGAGUAACACGUGGAUAACCUGCCUCAAGGCUGGGGAUAACAUUUGGAAACAGAUGCUAAUACCGAAUAAAACUUAGUAUCGCAUGAUAUAAAGUUAAAAGGCGCUACGGCGUCACCUAGAGAUGGAUCCGCGGUGCAUUAGUUAGUUGGUGGGGUAAAGGCUUACCAAGACAAUGAUGCAUAGCCGAGUUGAGAGACUGAUCGGCCACAUUGGGACUGAGACACGGCCCAAACUCCUACGGGAGGCUGCAGUAGGGAAUCUUCCACAAUGGGCGCAAGCCUGAUGGAGCAACGCCGCGUGUGUGAUGAAGGCUUUCGGGUCGUAAAGCACUGUUGUAUGGGAAGAAAUGCUAAAAUAGGGAAUGAUUUUAGUUUGACGGUACCAUACCAGAAAGGGACGGCUAAAUACGUGCCAGCAGCCGCGGUAAUACGUAUGUCCCGAGCGUUAUCCGGAUUUAUUGGGCGUAAAGCGAGCGCAGACGGUUGAUUAAGUCUGAUGUGAAAGCCCGGAGCUCAACUCCGGAAUGGCAUUGGAAACUGGUUAACUUGAGUGUUGUAGAGGUAAGUGGAACUCCAUGUGUAGCGGUGGAAUGCGUAGAUAUAUGGAAGAACACCAGUGGCGAAGGCGGCUUACUGGACAACAACUGACGUUGAGGCUCGAAAGUGUGGGUAGCAAACAGGAUUAGAUACCCUGGUAGUCCACACCGUAAACGAUGAAUACUAGGUGUUAGGAGGUUUCCGCCUCUUAGUGCCGAAGCUAACGCAUUAAGUAUUCCGCCUGGGGAGUACGACCGCAAGGUUGAAACUCAAAGGAAUUGACGGGGACCCGCACAAGCGGUGGAGCAUGUGGUUUAAUUCGAAGCAACGCGAAGAACCUUACCAGGUCUUGACAUCCUUUGAAGCUUUUAGAGAUAGAAGUGUUCUCUUCGGAGACAAAGUGACAGGUGGUGCAUGGUCGUCGUCAGCUCGUGUCGUGAGAUGUUGGGUUAAGUCCCGCAACGAGCGCAACCCUUAUUGUUAGUUGCCAGCAUUCAGUUGGGCACUCUAGCGAGACUGCCGGUGACAAACCGGAGGAAGGCGGGGACGACGUCAGAUCAUCAUGCCCCUUAUGACCUGGGCUACACACGUGCUACAAUGGCGUAUACAACGAGUUGCCAACCUGCGAAGGUGAGCUAAUCUCUUAAAGUACGUCUCAGUUCGGACUGCAGUCUGCAACUCGACUGCACGAAGUCGGAAUCGCUAGUAAUCGCGGAUCAGCACGCCGCGGUGAAUACGUUCCCGGGUCUUGUACACACCGCCCGUCACACCAUGGGAGUUUGUAAUGCCCAAAGCCGGUGGCCUAACCUUCGGGAGGGA